UAUUCAGAGAGAUUUCACUACGAUAUCACAGCGACGUUAUCAUGACCUUACUACGACCAUUACGUUCUCACCGCGACCCAACUACGCUUCCACUACGACUAAACCACGCUGAUCACGACCAUAGUACGAUUCUAGCACGCCCUUGCCGUCCUCAUCACGCUCUUCUCACGACCUUACUACGUUCACACUACGACCAUCAUUUUUAUUGUCAUUUUCCCAUAAAAUAUAUCAAAAAAAAUCCCUAGAUUUUGUUUGUCUGAAAGUAUUUAUCCAUUUGCACUAACGGCUCAACUAUGCUUCUCGUUUUUAUAUAGAUUAGACCGUUGGUUUUUCCCGUUUAAAUGGUUUAACAUUAGUAUUUGUUUGGGCCCUUUUUAGCGUGCUGUUCGGUGUGAGCCAAGGCUCCGUAUUGAAGGCCGUACCUUGGCCUAUAAUGAUUUACUUUUAUAGAUUUUUACGUUGAUGAAGAGUUGUCUCAUUGGCACUCAUACCACAUCUUCCUAUAUAUAUUGACACAUCUGUGUCAUCUCUGCUAUCGUUCACUAAAAUAUCGUCAUUUGAGCUUUAUGGACCAGCAAUAGGUUGUAU
RNAcentral lists this long non-coding RNA (588 nucleotides) under Mytilus galloprovincialis (Mediterranean mussel). The record is from RNAcentral. Lineage: Eukaryota; Metazoa; Mollusca; Bivalvia; Mytilida; Mytilidae.